RNAcentral lists this unclassified non-coding RNA (738 nucleotides) under Napier grass stunt phytoplasma. RNAcentral describes it as "partial contains 16S ribosomal RNA, 16S-23S ribosomal RNA intergenic spacer, and 23S ribosomal RNA". The stretch from base 256 to 738 matches the Rfam family "Bacterial large subunit ribosomal RNA", at positions 1 to 518 of the family's 2925-position model. Lineage: Bacteria; Bacillati; Mycoplasmatota; Mollicutes; Acholeplasmatales; Acholeplasmataceae. The record is from RNAcentral.
GGAUGGAUCACCUCCUUUCUAAGGAAAAGUUUUUAAAUUUUCAUCUUCAGUUUUGAAAGACUUAGUUCUUAUAAGUUUUUCCUUUUUUAAGAAAAAAAAGAAGGAGGGCCUAUAGCUCAGUUGGUUAGAGCACACGCCUGAUAAGCGUGAGGUCGAUGGUUCAAGUCCAUUUAGGCCCACCAACUGAAAAAGGUCAUCUUUCUUAUUCUUAACAAAAGUUCUUUGAAAAGUAGAUAAACAAAGUAAAAUAAUAAAAUCAAAGGAAUCAAGGGCGUACAGUGGAUGCCUUGGCACUAAGAGCCGAUGAAGGACGUAAUUAACAGCGAUAUGCCACGGUUAGUUGUAAAUAAAUGAAGAUCCGUGGAUUUCCGAAUAGGGCAACCUACUACAUUAAAAUUGUAGUUUUUUGAUUUUUUUUGUCAAAAAGGGAAACGCAGUGAACUGAAAUAUCUAAGUAACUGCAGGAAAAGAAAGUAACAACGAUUCUGGUAGUAGUGACGAGCGAAUCCGGAACAGCCUGAUACUAUUCAAACUAGUUACAAAAUUUUAAUUAACUUGAAUUUUUUGGAAAGAAAAACCAAAGGAGGUGAUAGUCCUGUAGAGGAAUAAUUAAAAUCUAGAGUAUCAAAAAGUACGGCGAGACACGAGAAAUCUUGUCGGAAGACGGGAGGACCAUCUCCCAAGGCUAAAUACUCCUUAGUGACCGAUAGUGAACUAGUACCGUGAGGGAAAGGCGAA